Molecule: transfer RNA, 86 nt
Filed under: Sphingomicrobium sediminis
Lineage: Bacteria; Pseudomonadati; Pseudomonadota; Alphaproteobacteria; Sphingomonadales; Sphingomicrobiaceae
Description: tRNA-Leu
Rfam family: tRNA
About the family: Transfer RNA (tRNA) molecules are approximately 80 nucleotides in length. Their secondary structure includes four short double-helical elements and three loops (D, anti-codon, and T loops).
Source: RNAcentral
GCGGACGUGGCGGAAUGGUAGACGCUGCCGACUUAAAAUCGGCUUCCAGAGAUGGAGUGCGGGUUCAAGUCCCGCCGUCCGCACCA